AUACGGAGGAUGCGAGCGUUAUCCGGAUUUAUUGGGUUUAAAGGGUGCGCAGGCGGGCGAUUAAGUCAGCGGUGAAAGGCUCGGGCUCAACCGGAGCAGUGCCGUUGAUACUGGUUGUCUUGAAUGCGGUCAAGGCCGGCGGAAUGUGGCGUGUAGCGGUGAAAUGCAUAGAUAUGCCACAGAACACCGAUAGCGAAGGCAGCUGGCCGAGCCUGCAUUGACGCUGAGGCACGAAAGCGUGGGGAUCGAACAGGAUUAGAUACCCUGGUAGUCCACGCUGUAAACGAUGGACACUCGUUGUCGGCGACAGACAGUCGGCGGCCAAGCGAAAGUGAUAAGUGUCCCACCUGGGAAGUACGGUCGCAAGGCUGAAACUCAAAUGAAUUGACGGGG
This 393-nucleotide ribosomal RNA is filed under the name uncultured bacterium. Its description in RNAcentral is "partial 16S ribosomal RNA". It matches the Rfam family "Bacterial small subunit ribosomal RNA", at positions 523 to 918 of the family's 1533-position model. The record is from RNAcentral.